GACGAACGCUGGCGGCGUGCCUAACACAUGCCAGUCGAACGGAAAGGCCCUGCUUUCGUGGGCUGCUCGAGUGGCGAACGGGAGAGUAACACGUGAGUAACCCGCCCUUGACUUUGGGAUAACUUCAGGCAACCGGUGAUACUACCGGAUACCUGCUCCUGCUGCAGGGGGGGGGCUGGAAAGCUUCGGCGGAUGUGGAUGGACGGGCGGCUUAUCAGCUUGUGGGUGGGGGAGUGGCUUACCCAGGCUUUGGCUGAUAGCCGGCGUGAGAGGUGGAACGGCGACCAUACGACUAAGAUACGGCGCAGACUCCUACGGGAGACAGCAGUGGGGAAUAUUGCACAAUGAGCGGGAGCCUGAUGCAGCAACGCUGCGUGCGGGAUGACCGCCUUCGGGUUAAAAACCGCUUUCGCCUGUGACGAAGCGUGAAUGACGGUAAUGGGUAAAGAAGCACCGGCUAACUACGUG
RNAcentral lists this ribosomal RNA (468 nucleotides) under uncultured bacterium. RNAcentral describes it as "partial 16S ribosomal RNA". It matches the Rfam family "Bacterial small subunit ribosomal RNA", at positions 28 to 507 of the family's 1533-position model. The record is from RNAcentral.